Transfer RNA from Ovis aries (sheep), 72 nucleotides. It matches the Rfam family "tRNA". Rfam says of the family: Transfer RNA (tRNA) molecules are approximately 80 nucleotides in length. Their secondary structure includes four short double-helical elements and three loops (D, anti-codon, and T loops). NCBI's taxonomy places the organism in Eukaryota, Metazoa, Chordata, Mammalia, Artiodactyla, Bovidae. The record is from Rfam.
UCCCUGAUAGCUCAGUUGGUAAAGAAUUCACCUGCAAUGCAGGAGACCCAGGUUCAAUUCCUGGGUAGGGAA